Molecule: ribosomal RNA, 305 nt
Filed under: uncultured bacterium
Lineage: Bacteria
Description: bacterial SSU rRNA
Rfam family: Bacterial small subunit ribosomal RNA
Source: RNAcentral
GCCUACGGGCGCAGCAGUGAGGAAUAUUGGUCAAUGGGCGGGAGCCUGAACCAGCCAAGUCGCGUGAGGGAAGACGGUCCUAUGGAUUGUAAACCUCUUUAGGCGGGGAGCAAUGCCGGGCACGUGUGCCCGGAGGGAGAGUACCCGCAGAAUAAGCAUCGGCUAACUCCGUGCCAGCAGCCGCGGUAAUACGGAGGAUGCGAGCGUUAUCCGGAUUUAUUGGGUUUAAAGGGUGCGUAGGCGGAUUUUUAAGUCAGCGGUAAAAUGUCCGGGCUCAACCCGAGCCGGCCGUUGAAACUGGGGAU